This 526-nucleotide ribosomal RNA is filed under the name uncultured bacterium. RNAcentral describes it as "bacterial SSU rRNA". It matches the Rfam family "Bacterial small subunit ribosomal RNA", at positions 8 to 527 of the family's 1533-position model. The record is from RNAcentral.
AGGGUUUGAUCAUGGCUCAGGAUGAACGCUAGCGGCAGGCUUAACACAUGCAAGUCGAGGGGUAACAGGGAUUGCUUGCAAUCCGCUGACGACCGGCGCACGGGUGCGUAACGCGUAUGCAACCUACCUUUUACUGGGGGAUAGUCAAGAGAAAUUUUGAAUAAUACCCCAUACGAUCUGAUUCACUCCUGUGAAACAGAAGAAAAUUCCGAUGGUAAAAGAUGGGCAUGCGUCCUAUUAGUUUGUUGGUGAGGUAACGGCUCACCAAGACUACGAUAGGUAGGGGUCCUGAGAGGGAGAUCCCCCACACUGGUACUGAGACACGGACCAGACUCCUACGGGAGGCAGCAGUGAGGAAUAUUGGGCAAUGGAGGCAGCUCUGAUCCAGCCAUGCCGCGUGCAGGAAGACGGCCCUAUGGGUUGUAAACUGCUUUUAUACAGGAAGAAACGUUAGUACGUGUACUAGCCUGACGGUACUGUAAGAAUAAGGAUCGGCUAACUCCGUGCCAGCCGCCGCGGUAAUACA